Molecule: ribosomal RNA, 460 nt
Filed under: uncultured bacterium
Lineage: Bacteria
Description: partial 16S ribosomal RNA
Rfam family: Bacterial small subunit ribosomal RNA
Source: RNAcentral
CCUACGGGUGGCAGCAGUGAGGAAUAUUGGUCAAUGGCCGGAAGGCUGAACCAGCCAUGCCGCGUGAAGGUCAGUGCCCUAUGGGCGUUAAACUUCUUUUGUGCGGGAGCAAUAAUGGUCACGUGUGGCCAGACGAGAGUACCGUACGAAUAAGCAUCGGCUAACUCCGUGCCAGCAGCCGCGGUAAUACGGGGGAUGCAAGCGUUAUCCGGAUUUAUUGGGUUUAAAGGGUUGGUAGGCUGUUAGGUAAGUCAGCGGUGAAAUGCCCCCGCUCAACGGGGUGAAGUGCCAUUGAUACUGCCUGGCUGGAAUGCGGAUGCCGUGGGAGGAAUGUGUGGUGUAGCGGUGAAAUGCAUAGAUAUCACACAGAACACCGAUUGCGAAGGCAUCUCACGAAUCCGCGAUUGACGCUGAUGCACGAAAGCGUGGGUAUCAAACAGGAUUAGAUACCCUUGUAGUC